Non-coding RNA from Paramuricea clavata, 73 nucleotides. Lineage: Eukaryota; Metazoa; Cnidaria; Anthozoa; Malacalcyonacea; Plexauridae. The record is from the annotation of a GenBank genome assembly.
GACCGCGUAGCUCAGUUGGAAGAGCAUUGGGCUAGUAUUCCAAAGGUCGUAGGUUCGAAUCCCGCCGUGGUCA